Molecule: long non-coding RNA, 1846 nt
Organism: Gadus morhua (Atlantic cod)
Lineage: Eukaryota; Metazoa; Chordata; Actinopteri; Gadiformes; Gadidae
Source: Ensembl
UAAAUAAAUAUUAUUAGUAUAAUUAUCAUACAUCAUCUGUACUCUACACCACUCCUAUUUGUGAUGGGAGUGUCCAGAAGUGACUCUAUUUUUAAAGACCUUGUAAUGACUGAUCAGCCUCACAGCUGGUGGUGCAAUAGGGUCCCUUUAUCUCCCUGAGGUCAGACCUGUCAGGGUUGGCUGUGUAUCCUGGUGGGGGACAGGAAGCUCCUGGCUGGUGUUCCCGGCAGCGUUGGAGCUGUGGCAGGUCAAGGCUGUCAGACCAGCAGAGAAGCCCCUGACUGCAGCCCGCAGACGGAGCCCACAUGGAGGGGGCGGGCACUCAGUCCACAUGGAGGGGGCCGGCCCUCCGCCCACAUGGAGGGGGCGGGCACUCAGUCCACAUGGAGGGGGCCGGCACUCCGCCCACAUGGAGGGGGCGGAUACUCAUGCUGCGUUCGAGUAUUCUCUGCGAACCGACUCGGAUCUCGGAUCUGACGCCACGCCCGUCCACAUCGAGGGGGCGGCCACUCAGUUCACAUUGAGGACUGGUCAAACAGCAUGUGCAGCAUCUGAUCCCGUUUCUGACCUGAAAUUAGCUGAAAUGUACCUGAAAUUACCUGAAAUUAGAGUGUGCCCGCCCGAGCUAGUGAUGCCUAAAACAUGCAAAGACACGUCAGUGUAAUUGUGAAUGGCGAGAGCCCUGAAAUACAGCUGGACAGCAGCGGUCUACAUCACUGCCCCUUCUGCAGAUACAAAGGGUCAAAAUGUGAUAUCGACCAUCACAUUAAAUGCCAUGCCUCGGUUAAAUACAGAGGUACAUUUUCUUAUUUUUUUAUUAUUAUUAUUUAUAUUAUUAUUGUUAUUAUAUAUUUGUAUGUAUGUAAUGUAUGCCGUUUACUCACCAAGGUCUGCAGAGGAGCUUUCAGGAAGCAGGAAGAGAAGACGGGAGGAAAAAAAAGCUACAGGAUAAAGAUCUCUGCACAAAAAGGGCUAGAGUUGCUCCAACAGCAUCCAGCUCUGAAGGAUCAGGUCAUGUAUAGACUGUUAAUCCAGACAAAACUGAAGACCAGGAACUGGAACCUGGGAACCUGGAAGAUUAUGUUGUCCUGAAGGACACAAUUCAGGCAGCAGCAUGGUGCCAGUUACAGUCCUUCAAGGACAGCGUUUCUCUCCCAGAGGUCAUUGGGAUGGAAGGUUGGGAGCAGAUGGCAGCAUCAACACAGCGCAAAUCCCAUGACGGCGGGGAUGAGGAAGAAACGUGGAAACCAUUCCAAUUCUCAUUCAGAUUACAUACUGACUAUGAACUGUUCUGUGUGGAGAGGAUGGACAGGAGAAACCUGAAGGUGUUUGCCUCUUUUGAGUCAAACACCUCUCCCCCUCCCCGUCCCCCCUCCCCGUCCCCCUCCCCGUGACGCCUGCGCCACACGACUCCAAUGUAGUCUGAUGAUGCAGCAUAAUGGCGGCGCUUGGCAGCUAUGGCGGCGGUGACGGCGAUGUCGUGCGACAGAGCGUGAAGCAAGAGUGGCAUCCACCUCACUGAGGAAGGCGUCAGUGUGUUCCCCCUUUGUUGUUUGACUUUGUUUGUUCUACUCUUUAUUGAUUUAUCUUUUAUGUUUAUAGUUUACAAUCUAUUUUUUGUAGUUGUUAUUUUUUAAUUGUUUUGUUGAAUAAAAAGACAGUUGUUAGUGCUCCUGUGAUUGGUGUAACUUAAUGUGCUUCACACAUGUAGCUUUUCAUUAUGUCUAUUGAGGUAAAUUUUUUGCCCUUAGAUGUGGUCACUUCGUUAUUCCUCACAUUACAUCUGUUAAGGCCAUACCUUUGGGUCCCAGUCUUCAUAGUUCCCCAAAUCUUAUUUUGGCUCUUA